RNAcentral lists this ribosomal RNA (473 nucleotides) under uncultured delta proteobacterium. RNAcentral describes it as "bacterial SSU rRNA". It matches the Rfam family "Bacterial small subunit ribosomal RNA", at positions 400 to 863 of the family's 1533-position model. The record is from RNAcentral. Lineage: Bacteria; Deltaproteobacteria.
CGUGAGUGAUGAAGGCUUUCGGGUCGUAAAGCUCUGUCAAGUGGGAAGAACCCACAUGGUGCUAAUAUCACCAUGUGUUGACGGUACCACUGAAGGAAGCACCGGCUAACUCCGUGCCAGCAGCCGCGGUAAUACGGGGGGUGCAAGCGUUAUUCGGAAUUACUGGGCGUAAAGAGCGCGUAGGCGGUCCUAUAAGUCAGCUGUGAAAGCCCGGGGCUUAACCCCGGAAGUGCACUUGAAACUAUAGGACUUGAGUAUGGGAGAGGGAAGUGGAAUUCCUGGUGUAGCGGUGAAAUGCGUAGAUAUCAGGAGGAACAUCGGUGGCGAAGGCGACUUCCUGGACCAAUACUGACGCUGAGGCGCGAAGGCGUGGGGAGCAAACAGGAUUAGAUACCCUGGUAGUCCACGCAGUAAACGGUGAUCACUAGGUGUAGCGGGUAUUGACCCCUGCUGUGCCGCAGCAAACGCAUUAA